RNAcentral lists this unclassified non-coding RNA (272 nucleotides) under Melitaea cinxia (Glanville fritillary). RNAcentral's name for it is "misc RNA ENSMCXG00005003228.1". The record is from RNAcentral. Lineage: Eukaryota; Metazoa; Arthropoda; Insecta; Lepidoptera; Nymphalidae.
GUAAACCAAUCGCAGCUAAUUCCGUGGAUAGAAUAUGAUGGUUAACAUUAUUAAAGGCUCCAACUACAUCGAAGAAAACUCCAGCGAGAGCUUGCUUUGAUUGUAUAGCAUUAUAAAUAUCAAGAUGUAAGUGAGCAAUGCUCUCCCUUGAAGACCUGCCUCUUCUAAAACCAAACUGAUUAGAAGGAAAGUGGUAGCUGCCUAAGGGAUCGUCAUGUACUGACCAGUCACACUCUAGAGCCAAUGAAGGGCAUGCAGGGGAUAUGGCAAUG